AUGAGCACCGGCGGCGCGGACAAGUCCGGCACCGGCGGCGGCGGAGCUGGUGGGCCGGUGAAGACGCCGUCAGACUUCCUCAAGUCGAUCAGGGGCCGCCCCGUCGUCGUUAAACUCAACUCAGGCGUCGACUACCGAGGUAUUCUGGCUUGUCUGGAUGGCUAUAUGAACAUCGCGAUGGAGCAAACCGAAGAGUACGUGAACGGCCAACUGAAGAACAAAUAUGGCGACGCCUUCAUAAGAGGCAACAACGUCCUAUACAUCAGCACGUCAAAGCGGCCCCUCACCGACGGAGCAUAG
This 300-nucleotide ribosomal RNA is filed under the name Triticum aestivum (bread wheat). Its description in RNAcentral is "partial small subunit ribosomal RNA". The record is from RNAcentral. Lineage: Eukaryota; Viridiplantae; Streptophyta; Magnoliopsida; Poales; Poaceae.